AUGUUUUAUUGAGAAUUUCUCGAAUUGGAAUGAUCUAAGGGUUUAUAAAUUUUACUGUUGAAUAAUUAUUUAUAAUUAAUUUUUUGGGGUGAUAUGUAAUUCGUCUUUCAAGAUAUCUAGUUUUUUAAGAAAUUAAUUUAAUUAAGCUCUACACUUGUGAAUUUUUUGUUUAAGUUUAGUGUGGGUGUAAUAUCUGAGGGGAUAAGCUUUUGGGUAAAUUAAUAUAAUUUUAUUAAGAUUUAUCAUAAAUAGGAUUAGAAGUUUUCAUUUUUGGGAUUGUGUUAUAACAGUUUAUAAGUUUUGUUAAUAUUUUUAUAUGUUUAUUUUUUUUAUUGAAAUAACAAUUUUAAUUAUGAAUUUUGUGAAAUAAUGAUUAAAUUAGUAUAUUGUGUUGUUGAAUAAGUAGAGUUUAAAAAUUUGAGUAAAGGAAUUCGGCAAAAAUAACUUCUUGCCUGUUUACUAAAAACAUGGCUUUUUGGGAAUGAUUUAAAGUCUGGCCUGCCCAAUGAUUAAUUUUGAAUGGCCGCGGUAUUAUGACCGUGCAAAGGUAGCAUAAUCAUUAGUUUUUUAAUUGAAAGCUGGAAUGAACGGUCGGACAAGGGAGUUUCUGUCUCUAUUUAAUUUUUAGAAUUUAAUUUUUUAGUAAGAAAGCUUAAAUGUUUUUGAGGGACGAGAAGACCCUAUAGAAUUUUAUAUAAGUAUACAAAGCUGGUUUUUGGGGGAUUUUGUUUGUUUUGUAUGUUUGUAUUUUGUUGGGGUGAUAGAAAAAUUUAAUAAACUUUUUUUUAGUUUAUUCAUUAAUUUAUGUUUUUUUGAUCCAUUUUUAUUUGAUUAUAAGAUUAAAUUACCUUAGGGAUAACAGCGUAAUUAAUUUGGAGAGUUCUUAUCGAUAAAUUAGUUUGCGACCUCGAUGUUGGAUUAAAAUUAACUUGAGGUGUAGGGGCUUUGAUGUUAAGUCUGUUCGAC
This 966-nucleotide ribosomal RNA is filed under the name Aegus laevicollis subnitidus. RNAcentral's name for it is "partial 16S ribosomal RNA". The stretch from base 415 to 623 matches the Rfam family "Archaeal large subunit ribosomal RNA", at positions 1794 to 2108 of the family's 2987-position model. Lineage: Eukaryota; Metazoa; Arthropoda; Insecta; Coleoptera; Lucanidae. The record is from RNAcentral.